UGGGGAAUAUUGCACAAUGGGCGAAAGCCUGAUGCAGCAACGCCGCGUGAGUGAUGAAGGCCUUCGGGUUGUAAAGCUCUGUCUUUUGGGACGAUAAUGACGGUACCAAAGGAGGAAGCCACGGCUAACUACGUGCCAGCAGCCGCGGUAAUACGUAGGUGGCAAGCGUUGUCCGGAUUUACUGGGCGUAAAGGAUGCGUAGGCGGAUUUUUAAGUGAGAUGUGAAAACCCUAAGCUUAACUUGGGGACUGCAUUUCAUACUGGAAAUCUAGAGUGCGGGAGAGGAGAAUGGAAUUCCUAGUGUAGCGGUGAAAUGCGUAGAGAUUAGGAAGAACACCAGUGGCGAAGGCGAUUCUCUGGACCGUAACUGACGCUGAGGCAUGAAAGCGUGGGUAGCAAAACAGGAUUAGAUACCCUGGUAGUCCACGCCGUAAACGAUGAGUACUAGGUGUAGGAGGUAUCGACCCCUUCUGUGCCGCAGUUAACACAAUAAGUACUCCGCCUGGGAAGUACGAUCGCAAAGAUUAAAAACUUAAAAGGAAAUUGACGGGGGUCAUAGCUGUUUCCU
RNAcentral lists this ribosomal RNA (568 nucleotides) under uncultured bacterium. Its description in RNAcentral is "partial 16S ribosomal RNA". It matches the Rfam family "Bacterial small subunit ribosomal RNA", at positions 355 to 938 of the family's 1533-position model. The record is from RNAcentral.